AAGCAUGCAAGUCGAGCGGUAAGUCGGGAGCUUGCUCCUGACCUAGAGCGGCGGACUGGUGAGUAACGCGUGGGUGACGUACCUCUGUGACGGGGAUAGCUCCUAGAAAUAGGAGAUAAUACCGGAUACGCUGCAUGUUGUCAGAGGACAUGCAGGAAAGGAUCUUUUGAUUCGCACAGAGAGCGGCCCGCGUACUAUUAGCUAGUUGGUGAGGUAACGGCCCACCAAGGCGACGAUAGUUACCCGGCCUAAGAGGGUGAUCGGGCACAUUGGGACUGAGAUACGGCCCAGACUCCUACGGGAGGCAGCAGCUAAGAAUAUUCCGCAAUGGACGAAAGUCUGACGGAGCGACGCCGCGUGGAUGAUGAAGGCCGGAAGGUUGUAAAAUCCUUUUAUGACUGAGGAAUAAGGAAAGUGAGAGAAACGCUUUCUGGUGACUGUAGGUCAUGAAUAAGCAACGGCUAAUUACGUGCCAGCAGCGGC
This 483-nucleotide ribosomal RNA is filed under the name uncultured bacterium. RNAcentral describes it as "bacterial SSU rRNA". It matches the Rfam family "Bacterial small subunit ribosomal RNA", at positions 51 to 518 of the family's 1533-position model. The record is from RNAcentral.